AUGCAGAAGUAUAGAAGGGAAAGAUUUAUCGGUAAGAGAUCAGCUUGUACAGUAUCAGUUAGUUGGUGGGGUAAUGGCUUACCAAGACUAUGACGCUUAACUGGUUUGAGAGGAUGAUCAGUCACACUGGAACUGAGACACGGUCCAGACUCCUACGGGAGGCAGCAGUGGGGAAUAUUGCACAAUGGACGAAAGUCUGAUGCAGCAACGCCGCGUGGAGGAUGACACAUUUCGGUGCGUAAACUCCUUUUAUAUGAGAAGAUAAUGACGGUAUCAUAUGAAUAAGCACCGGCUAACUCCGUGCCAGCAGCCGCGGUAAUACGGGGGGUGCAAGCGUUACUCGGAAUCACUGGGCGUAAAGAGCAUGUAGGCGGAUUGAUAAGUUUGAAGUGAAAUCCUAUAGCUUAACUAUAGAACUGCUUUGAAAACUGUUAAUCUAGAAUGUGGGAGAGGUAGAUGGAAUUUCUGGUGUAGGGGUAAAAUCCGUAGAGAUCAGAAGGAAUACCGAUUGCGAAGGCGAUCUACUGGAACACUAUUGACGCUGAGAUGCGAAAGCGUGGGGAGCAAACGGGAUUAGAUACCCCGGUAGUCCACGCCCUAAACGAUGCACACUAGUUGUUGUGAGGCUAGACCUUGCAGUAAUGCAGUUAACAC
Molecule: ribosomal RNA, 654 nt
Filed under: uncultured bacterium
Lineage: Bacteria
Description: bacterial SSU rRNA
Rfam family: Bacterial small subunit ribosomal RNA
Source: RNAcentral